RNAcentral lists this non-coding RNA (25 nucleotides) under Mus musculus (house mouse). The record is from RNAcentral. Lineage: Eukaryota; Metazoa; Chordata; Mammalia; Rodentia; Muridae.
UGUAUCCUAGGAUGGUGCGGGUUGC